UCAGACGAUGCGUCAUGCAUAUCAAUAAGCGGAGGAAAAGAAACUAACAAGGAUUCCCCUAGUAACGGCGAGUGAAGCGGGAAGAGCUCAAAUUUGAAAUCUUAAAGGGUUUCCCUUUACGAAUUGUAGUUUAAAGAAGUGUUUUCUGUUGAGGUUUUGGUAAAAGUUCUUUGGAAUAGGACAAUCAUAGAGGGUGAGAAUCCCGUAUUUGACCUUUACUUUCAACUUUGUGAUACACUUUCAAAGAGUCGGAUUGUUUGGGAAUGCAGUCCAAAAUGGGUGGUAAAUUUCAUCUAAAGCUAAAUAUUGGCGAGAGACCGAUAGCGAACAAGUACCGUGAGGGAAAGAUGAAAAGGACUUUGAAAAGAGAGUUAAACAGUACGUGAAAUUGUCAAAAGGGAAGCGUUUGACACCAGUGUUGUUUUUCUGAAAAUCAAUUAAAGAACUGUUUAUGCUAAGCUGUUUAGACUUUAUCAGCUAUCUGUUUAGUUUUGAGCUUUUCUUUAAUGCACUCUUCAGUUAACAAGUCAACAUCAAUUUCUUUUGCUGUAAAAAAGCUUGAGGAAGGUGGCUUGAGAUUCGUCUUAAGUGUUUAUAGCCUCUUGCCUAUGCAGUCGGAGAGAUUGAGGUCUGCAGCGUAGAUCCUUCGGGGCUAAAUGCAUUUGUGCUAAGUUAUAGCAUUUCAUAGACAACUUGUUGACUAUGAUUUGUCUUGUAGCUUACUCGCUUAUGUUAUUUUACCUACGCUUAGGAUGUUGAAUCUGUGCGAGACUAC
This 775-nucleotide ribosomal RNA is filed under the name uncultured Neocallimastigales. RNAcentral's name for it is "partial large subunit ribosomal RNA". It matches the Rfam family "Eukaryotic large subunit ribosomal RNA", at positions 18 to 644 of the family's 3401-position model. Lineage: Eukaryota; Fungi; Neocallimastigomycota; Neocallimastigomycetes; Neocallimastigales. The record is from RNAcentral.